This 406-nucleotide long non-coding RNA is filed under the name Elaeis guineensis (African oil palm). RNAcentral's name for it is "long non-coding RNA (EGUI_LNC006056)". The record is from RNAcentral. Lineage: Eukaryota; Viridiplantae; Streptophyta; Magnoliopsida; Arecales; Arecaceae.
CUUCCAUAGGAUCUGAGGUCCCUGAGAAUGCCGGUGGUGCAUAUUUUUUGAAGUCUAAUAAAUUGAUUUGACGUUCAUACUGAUUUCCAGCUCCUUGUUGCUGCUGGGACUGUCGCUCCUAAAAUAUUUGUUGUAUGAUCUGCUAUUGUUGUCCCUGUUGCACCUCCAAUAUCCUCCUCAUAUCUUCCCUCGCAGCCACUUGUUGUUGAACCAGUACUUGCAUUAACUGAGCUGCAGUAAUUUAUUCCCCAAGUUGAAUUUCAGGUUCUCCUGGAGUUUCUUCCCCGGGAGUGACCUCUGCAGGCUCAGUAGGAUGUUCUUGUUAUGGUGCAUCAUCAUCCGAUGAGGGUGGAGCAUUUUCUUGUGGUGUAGCUGGCUCCCAAGCAUUAGAGCCAUCCGCAAAAUG